RNAcentral lists this ribosomal RNA (274 nucleotides) under uncultured bacterium. RNAcentral's name for it is "partial 16S ribosomal RNA". It matches the Rfam family "Bacterial small subunit ribosomal RNA", at positions 523 to 796 of the family's 1533-position model. The record is from RNAcentral.
AUACGAAGGGGGCUAGCGUUGUUCGGAAUCACUGGGCGUAAAGCGCGCGUAGGUGGAUCAAUUAGUUGAGGGUGAAAUCCCGGGGCUCAACCUCGGAACUGCCUUCAAUACUGUUGAUCUUGAGACCGAGAGAGGUGAGUGGAAUUCCUAGUGUAGAGGUGAAAUUCGUAGAUAUUAGGAAGAACACCAGUGGCGAAGGCGGCUCACUGGCUCGGUACUGACGCUGAGGUGCGAAAGCGUGGGGAGCAAACAGGAUUAGAUACCCUAGUAGUCC